GGGGGCGAAUUGGAUUCGACGAGAGUGCUGACGGCACCAGUCGCAGGUCGAGGUCGCUGGACCCUCGUUAAACACUGGCAAAAACCUAAAUGACAAUAGCGUAAGCUAUGCCAUGGCUGCUUAAUUAGCCGCCCGUUCUCAAUGUCCGCUCCCACCGGGUGUUGAUGGACGCAACAUGUGGGAUGCUCAUCUGACCGGGACGCUGGGUCAGAUGUUAAGACAUACAGUGUCUGGUCUUCCGGCCCCGGUCUUGGAGGUCACCGGAAGAUGAGAAACAAACCAAGGCUAAGCCUGUAGUGACUUUGCUCGAUCACCUUCGGACGCGGGUUCGAUUCCCGCCGCCUCCACAA
Molecule: transfer-messenger RNA, 350 nt
Filed under: bacterium
Lineage: Bacteria
Also listed under: 1 other name
Description: JACPAK01 sp016180845 Standard tmRNA
Rfam family: transfer-messenger RNA
About the family: Bacterial tmRNA, also known as 10Sa RNA or SsrA, is named for its dual tRNA and mRNA-like properties. Its role is to liberate the mRNA from a stalled ribosome. To accomplish this part of the tmRNA is used as a reading frame that ends in a translation stop signal.
Source: RNAcentral